This 750-nucleotide ribosomal RNA is filed under the name Bacillus sp. (in: firmicutes). RNAcentral's name for it is "bacterial SSU rRNA". It matches the Rfam family "Bacterial small subunit ribosomal RNA", at positions 592 to 1342 of the family's 1533-position model. The record is from RNAcentral. Lineage: Bacteria; Bacillati; Bacillota; Bacilli; Caryophanales; Bacillaceae.
AUGUGAAAGCCCCCGGCUCAACCGGGGAGGGUCAUUGGAAACUGGGAAACUUGAGUGCAGAAGAGGAGAGUGGAAUUCCACGUGUAGCGGUGAAAUGCGUAGAGAUGUGGAGGAACACCAGUGGCGAAGGCGACUCUCUGGUCUGUAACUGACGCUGAGGAGCGAAAGCGUGGGGAGCGAACAGGAUUAGAUACCCUGGUAGUCCACGCCGUAAACGAUGAGUGCUAAGUGUUAGGGGGUUUCCGCCCCUUAGUGCUGCAGCUAACGCAUUAAGCACUCCGCCUGGGGAGUACGGUCGCAAGACUGAAACUCAAAGGAAUUGACGGGGGCCCGCACAAGCGGUGGAGCAUGUGGUUUAAUUCGAAGCAACGCGAAGAACCUUACCAGGUCUUGACAUCCUCUGACAACCCUAGAGAUAGGGCUUUCCCUUCGGGGACAGAGUGACAGGUGGUGCAUGGUUGUCGUCAGCUCGUGUCGUGAGAUGUUGGGUUAAGUCCCGCAACGAGCGCAACCCUUGAUCUUAGUUGCCAGCAUUCAGUUGGGCACUCUAAGGUGACUGCCGGUGACAAACCGGAGGAAGGUGGGGAUGACGUCAAAUCAUCAUGCCCCUUAUGACCUGGGCUACACACGUGCUACAAUGGACAGAACAAAGGGCUGCAAGACCGCAAGGUUUAGCCAAUCCCAUAAAUCUGUUCUCAGUUCGGAUCGCAGUCUGCAACUCGACUGCGUGAAGCUGACAUCGCUAGUAUC